AGAGGACGGGGAUUUUUAGGUGACUUCCUCUAAAUAUGGCCGCCUCUUAUUACCCAUUGUGCCUUAUGGUCAGACACUUCUGCUUUUGGUGUAAACAUACAAUAUAGCUUACAAUUUCCAUUCUGCGAAGACAAGUCUUGACCGGGAGAGGUCUUAUGACAGUACAGAUGGAGAAGAAUAAAGAUGAACACAGAAGACGUCAGCUGUGAUUCACUUGGAGAAGACGUCAGCUGUGAUUCACUUGGAGAAGACGUCAGCUGUGAUUCUCUGGAUGUAACUGUUCUUGUUGGCCUCUCGUUCUUUCUCUCCCAAGACUACGCUGCCCCCAACUCUGAGGGAUUUUUCUUGCUUUAGAAGAACGUCCCUCUUCUCUUGUAAAGGCAAAGAGCAGCCAAGACUGACCAAGGAGAGAAAAAGAAUCCAAGACAGCGACAUCUUUAUCUUUAGUUAGAGUGAUGGAGAUGAAACAAUGAUGUUGCCCCCGGCUCUGCGUGAAUCCUCUUGCUCCAGGAGGACUUCCCUCUCCUCCCAUAAAGGCAAAGAGCGUCCAAGACCGACCAAGGAGAAAAGAAGGAUCCAAGACAGCGACAUCUUUAUCUUACAGCUGGAAUGAAGGAGAUGAAAGUAUAAGAUCAACUGAUGACAUGAACAUCUGCAGCGAUAAAAGCUGCGAUCACAGAGUUACGUUAUAUUAAGUCAUAGGACUGAGCGGCUUAGGCCGAAAGAGAACAACACAAACUCUGUGUGACCCCGGCGAGCAAUCACGGUGGCCGCCGUCUGCAUCAGUUAUGGCUGGCCUCGUGGAGAAACAUCAUGUCCGAUACUCUAUUCACAUCCAGAGCUGCGUUCACAAGUCAUACGUGAUUAAACUACUAGCACAAGUGCAUCCAUGCAUCUCCAUUGAAAGCUGUCGCCUGCUGAGACAUUAGGUGAUUAUACAGAAACGAUGAAAACAGGAAGUAAAACCACGACCUUCACCUCAGAACCGAAAAUACGUAGGAGAAUGAGGAACCGGCCAAAAAGAUGCAUAGAGAAGAAAAGAAGAGCAGCUUAACCCUUCACAAUAUAUCAUCAAUUACAUGUAAACCAGCCUGAAAAUUACAUGGCCACAAGGUAACUCCGCCAUGUUGUUGUGAGACAGAGGCAGGAAUGGCGGUCAGGGGUCGCUAUAUUCCUGCAAGAUUCCUCCCUUAUGUCUAUAAAACUCAAGAAAGUUCACAUCUCAUCCAAGGAACGUUUGUUGAGAUGUGAGAAAUCCAGGAAUAGUGUGACAUCCGUAUUGGAUAAGUCCGUUUACAGGCCAGUCCAGGUUUUUCAGUUUGGUUCAAAUCAGCACAGGCGCUGAAGACAGCUCAUCACUGGGCUUACAAGAGAAGGCAUUCAUUCUGCUCUGGAAGGCUGUGAGGGAUGGGGAGCUCUGCUGGAAGUUUGAAUCCUGAGGUUUGACGCCUCUAGGGGACACUUGGGAGGAAAACAUUGGAUGCCUAUUGUUUCUGGGCGAGUGACUGGUAGAAAGUUAUCCGUAUAGUUAGGGAAUACUGUGUUAGUGAGCACUGUGACAAACAUUUUGUAUUUUUAUGCCUUAAAGAGGUCCUCCGGUGGAAAACAAAUAUUUUUUUUAAUCAACUGGUGCCAAAAAGUUAAACGGAUUUCUAAAUUACUUCUA
Molecule: long non-coding RNA, 1666 nt
Organism: Hyla sarda
Lineage: Eukaryota; Metazoa; Chordata; Amphibia; Anura; Hylidae
Exons: 5
Source: RefSeq, a predicted model, not a curated record